Molecule: non-coding RNA, 75 nt
Organism: Myotis lucifugus (little brown bat)
Lineage: Eukaryota; Metazoa; Chordata; Mammalia; Chiroptera; Vespertilionidae
Source: Rfam
GGCUGUUCUCAGGUGAUGCACCCCAGAAUCAGGUUCCUUUCUCUCUGGUUCUGGGUGCGUCACCUGAGAACUGCA